CACGGGGGCAAUCCUGGUGGCGAGUGGCGAACGGGUGAGUAAUACAUCGGAACGUGUCCUGGAGUGGGGGAUAGCCCGGCGAAAGCCGGAUUAAUACCGCAUACGCUCUGAGGAGGAAAGGGGGGGAUCGCAAGACCUCUCGCUCAAGGGGCGGCCGAUGGCAGAUUAGCUAGUUGGUGGGGUAAAGGCCUACCAAGGCGACGAUCUGUAGCUGGUCUGAGAGGACGACCAGCCACACUGGGACUGAGACACGGCCCAGAUUCCUACGGGAGGCAGCAGUGGGGAAUUUUGGACAAUGGGCGCUAGCCUGAUCCAGCAAUGCCGCGUGUGUGAGGAAGGCCUUCGGG
Molecule: ribosomal RNA, 347 nt
Filed under: uncultured bacterium
Lineage: Bacteria
Description: bacterial SSU rRNA
Rfam family: Bacterial small subunit ribosomal RNA
Source: RNAcentral